Molecule: non-coding RNA, 22 nt
Filed under: Arabidopsis thaliana (thale cress)
Lineage: Eukaryota; Viridiplantae; Streptophyta; Magnoliopsida; Brassicales; Brassicaceae
Source: RNAcentral
UUUGUGCUCUCUAUACUUCUGU